RNAcentral lists this transfer RNA (68 nucleotides) under Rattus norvegicus (Norway rat). It matches the Rfam family "tRNA". Rfam says of the family: Transfer RNA (tRNA) molecules are approximately 80 nucleotides in length. Their secondary structure includes four short double-helical elements and three loops (D, anti-codon, and T loops). Lineage: Eukaryota; Metazoa; Chordata; Mammalia; Rodentia; Muridae. The record is from Rfam by way of RNAcentral.
GGGGAUUUGGCUCAGUGGUAGAGCGCUUGCCUAGGAAGCGCAAGGUCCUGGGUUCGAUCCCAGCCCCG